CUGGAGGUAUCAGAAGUGCGAAUGCUGACAUAAGUAACGAUAAAGCGGGUGAAAAGCCCGCUCGCCGGAAGACCAAGGGUUCCUGUCCAACGUUAAUCGGGGCAGGGUGAGUCGACCCCUAAGGCGAGGCCGAAAGGCGUAGUCGAUGGGAAACAGGUUAAUAUUCCUGUACUUGGUGUUACUGCGAAGGGGGGACGGAGAAGGCUAUGUUGGCCGGGCGACGGUUGUCCCGGUUUAAGCGUGUAGGCUGGUUUUCCAGGCAAAUCCGGAAAAUCAAGGCUGAGGCGUGAUGACGAGGCACUACGGUGCUGAAGCAACAAAUGCCCUGCUUCCAGGAAAAGCCUCUAAGCAUCAGGUAACAUCAAAUCGUACCCCAAACCGACACAGGUGGUCAGGUAGAGAAUACCAAGGCGCUUGAGAGAACUCGGGUGAAGGAACUAGGCAAAAUGGUGCCGUAACUUCGGGAGAAGGCACGCUGAUAUGUAGGUGAAGCGACUUGCUCGUGGAGCUGAAAUCAGUCGAAGAUACCAGCUGGCUGCAACUGUUUAUUAAAAACACAGCACUGUGCAAACACGAAAGUGGACGUAUACGGUGUGACGCCUGCCCGGUGC
RNAcentral lists this ribosomal RNA (611 nucleotides) under Escherichia coli. Its description in RNAcentral is "partial 23S ribosomal RNA". It matches the Rfam family "Bacterial large subunit ribosomal RNA", at positions 1273 to 1869 of the family's 2925-position model. The record is from RNAcentral. Lineage: Bacteria; Pseudomonadati; Pseudomonadota; Gammaproteobacteria; Enterobacterales; Enterobacteriaceae.